Molecule: long non-coding RNA, 1899 nt
Filed under: Oncorhynchus kisutch (coho salmon)
Lineage: Eukaryota; Metazoa; Chordata; Actinopteri; Salmoniformes; Salmonidae
Description: lncRNA (ENSOKIG00005028275.1)
Source: RNAcentral
AUGCUGAAAAAUGCAGGAGCUCAUCUGAUUGUGACUUCCUCUCUGCUCUGCUCUGCUCUCUCUCUCUCUCUCUCUCUCUCUCUAUGUCUCUCUUUCUCUCUCUAUGUGUCUCUCUCUCUAUGUGUCUCUUUCUCUCUCUAUGUCUCUCUUUCUCUCUCUAUGUCUCUCUUUCUCUGUGUCUCUUUCUCUCUCUAUGUCUCUCUUUCUCUGUGUCUCUUCUCUCCCUAUGUGUCUCUUUCUCUCUCUGUGUCUCUCUAUGUGUCUCUUUCUCUCUCUGUGUCUCUCUAUGUGUCUCUUUCUCUCUCUGUGUCUCUCUAUGUGUCUCUCUCUAUGUGUCUCUCUCUCUAUGUGUCUCUCUCUCUAUGUGUCUCUCUCUAUGUGUCUCUCUCUAUGUGUCUCUCUCUCUAUGUCUCUCUCUAUGUGUCUCUCUCUCUCUAUGUGUCUCUCUCUAUGUGUCUCUCUCUCUCUAUGUGUCUCUCUCUAUGUGUCUCUCUCUCUCUCUAUGUGUCUCUCUCUCUAUGUGUCUCUCUCUCUCUAUGUGUCUCUCUCUCUCUAUGUGUCUCUCUCUAUGUGUCUCUCUCUAUGUGUCUCUCUCUAUGUGUCUCUCUCUCUAUGUGUCUCUCUCUCUAUGUGUCUCUCUCUAUGUGUCUCUCUCUAUGUGUCUCUCUCUCUAUGUGUCUCUCUCUCUAUGUGUCUCUCUCUAUGUGUCUCUCUCUAUGUGUCUCUCUCUAUGUGUCUCUAUGUGUCUCUCUCUAUGUGUCUCUCUCUAUGUGUCUCUCUAUGUGUCUCUCUAUGUGUCUCUAUGUGUCUCUAUGUGUCUCUCUCUAUGUGUCUCUCUCUAUGUGUCUCUCUCUAUGUGUCUCUCUCUAUGUGUCUCUCUAUGUGUCUCUCUCUCUAUGUCUCUCUCUCUCUCUCUAUGUGUCUCUCUCUCUCUAUGUGUCUCUCUCUCUCUCUCUUAUGUGUCUCUCUCUCUAUGUGUCUCUCUCUAUGUGUCUCUCUCUGUGUCUCUCUAUGUGUCUCUAUGUGUCUCUCUCUAUGUGUCUCUCUCUAUGUGUCUCUCUAUGUGUCUCUCUCUGUGUCUCUCUCUCUAUGUCUCUCUCUCUCUCUCUCUAUGUGUGUCUCUCUCUCUCUAUGUGUCUCUCUCUCUCUCUCUAUGUGUCUCUCUCUCUCUCUCUAUGUGUCUCUCUCUCUCUCUCUAUGUCUCUCUCUAUGUGUCUCUCUCUCUCUAUGUGUCUCUCUCUCUAUGUGUCUCUCUCUAUGUGUCUCUCUCUCUCUCUAUGUGUCUCUCUCUAUGUGUCUCUCUCUAUGUGUGUCUCUCUCUGUGUGUCUCUCUCUCUAUGUGUCUCUCUCUCUAUGUGUCUCUCUCUAUGUGUCUCUCUCUAUGUGUCUCUCUCUAUGUGUCUCUCUCUAUGUGUCUCUCUAUGUGUCUCUCUCUAUGUGUGUCUCUCUAUGUGUCUCUCUCUAUGUGUCUCUCUCUCUAUGUGUCUCUCUCUAUGUGUCUCUCUCUAUGUGUGUCUCUCUCUAUGUCUCUCUCUCUCUAUGUGUCUCUCUCUAUGUGUCUCUCUAUGUGUCUCUCUCUAUGUGUCUCUCUCUAUGUGUCUCUCUCUAUGUGUCUCUCUCUAUGUGUCUCUCUAUGUGUCUCUCUCUAUGUGUCUCUCUCUGUGUGUCUCUCUCUAUGUGUCUCUCUCUAUGUGUCUCUCUCUAUGUGUCUCUCUAUGUGUCUCUCUCUAUGUGUCUCUCUCUAUGUGUCUCUCUAUGUGUCUCUCUAUGUGUCUCUCUCUCAACUGGAAAACAAUGAGGCUACUCCUUUUCAAACCACAUUCAAAUAAACUGGGCCUUUAUUAUUAUUAUGAAAGGAACAUUGGGGAUACGUCCCACAUAGGCCUAGUCAAAAAGUAG